Molecule: ribosomal RNA, 301 nt
Filed under: uncultured bacterium
Lineage: Bacteria
Description: partial 16S ribosomal RNA
Rfam family: Bacterial small subunit ribosomal RNA
Source: RNAcentral
CAGUCGCCACGGUAAUACAGAGGGUGCAAGCGUUAAUCGGAAUUACUGGGCGUAAAGCGCGCGUAGGUGGUUUGUUAAGUUGGAUGUGAAAUCCCCGGGCUCAACCUGGGAACUGCAUCCAAAACUGUCAAGCUAGAGUAUGGUAGAGGGUGGUGGAAUUUCCUGUGUAGCGGUGAAAUGCGUAGAUAUAGGAAGGAACACCAGUGGCGAAGGCGACCACCUGGACUGAUACUGACACUGAGGUGCGAAAGCGUGGGGAGCAAACAGGAUUAGAUACCCGAGUAGUCCCUGUCUCUUAUAC